This 253-nucleotide ribosomal RNA is filed under the name uncultured bacterium. RNAcentral's name for it is "partial 16S ribosomal RNA". It matches the Rfam family "Bacterial small subunit ribosomal RNA", at positions 524 to 776 of the family's 1533-position model. The record is from RNAcentral.
UACGUAGGGUGCAAGCGUUGUCCGGAAUUAUUGGGCGUAAAGAGCUUGUAGGCGGUUUGUCGCGUCUGCUGUGAAAUUUCGGGGCUCAACCCCGAACUUGCAGUGGGUACGGGCAGACUAGAGUGUGGUAGGGGAGACUGGAAUUCCUGGUGUAGCGGUGAAAUGCGCAGAUAUCAGGAGGAACACCGAUGGCGAAGGCGGUUCUCUGGGCCUGUGCUGACGCUGAGGAGCGAAAGCGUGGGGAGCGAACAGG